AAAUUGAAGAGUUUGAUCAUGGCUCAGAUUGAACGCUGGCGGCAGGCCUAACACAUGCAAGUCGAACGGUAACAGGGAAACAGCUUGCUGUUUCGCUGACGAGUGGCGGACGGGUGAGUAAUGUCUGGGAAACUGCCUGAUGGAGGGGGAUAACUACUGGAAACGGUAGCUAAUACCGCAUAACGUCGCAAGACCAAAGAGGGGGACCUUCGGGCCUCUUGCCAUCGGAUGUGCCCAGAUGGGAUUAGCUUGUUGGUGGGGUAACGGCUCACCAAGGCGACGAUCCCUAGCUGGUCUGAGAGGAUGACCAGCCACACUGGAACUGAGACACGGUCCAGACUCCUACGGGAGGCAGCAGUGGGGAAUAUUGCACAAUGGGCGCAAGCCUGAUGCAGCCAUGCCGCGUGUAUGAAGAAGGCCUUCGGGUUGUAAAGUACUUUCAGCGGGGAGGAAGGGAGUAAAGUUAAUACCUUUGCUCAUUGACGUUACCCGCAGAAGAAGCACCGGCUAACUCCGUGCCAGCAGCCGCGGUAAUACGGAGGGUGCAAGCGUUAAUCGGAAUUACUGGGCGUAAAGCGCACGCAGGCGGUUUGUUAAGUCAGAUGUGAAAUCCCCGGGCUCAACCUGGGAACUGCAUCUGAUACUGGCAAGCUUGAGUCUCGUAGAGGGGGGUAGAAUUCCAGGUGUAGCGGUGAAAUGCGUAGAGAUCUGGAGGAAUACCGGUGGCGAAGGCGGCCCCCUGGACGAAGACUGACGCUCAGGUGCGAAAGCGUGGGGAGCAAACAGGAUUAGAUACCCUGGUAGUCCACGCCGUAAACGAUGUCGACUUGGAGGUUGUGCCCUUGAGGCGUGGCUUCCGGAGCUAACGCGUUAAGUCGACCGCCUGGGGAGUACGGCCGCAAGGUUAAAACUCAAAUGAAUUGACGGGGGCCCGCACAAGCGGUGGAGCAUGUGGUUUAAUUCGAUGCAACGCGAAGAACCUUACCUGGUCUUGACAUCCACGGAAGUUUUCAGAGAUGAGAAUGUGCCUUCGGGAACCGUGAGACAGGUGCUGCAUGGCUGUCGUCAGCUCGUGUUGUGAAAUGUUGGGUUAAGUCCCGCAACGAGCGCAACCCUUAUCCUUUGUUGCCAGCGGUCCGGCCGGGAACUCAAAGGAGACUGCCAGUGAUAAACUGGAGGAAGGUGGGGAUGACGUCAAGUCAUCAUGGCCCUUACGACCAGGGCUACACACGUGCUACAAUGGCGCAUACAAAGAGAAGCGACCUCGCGAGAGCAAGCGGACCUCAUAAAGUGCGUCGUAGUCCGGAUUGGAGUCUGCAACUCGACUCCAUGAAGUCGGAAUCGCUAGUAAUCGUGGAUCAGAAUGCCACGGUGAAUACGUUCCCGGGCCUUGUACACACCGCCCGUCACACCAUGGGAGUGGGUUGCAAAAGAAGUAGGUAGCUUAACCUUCGGGAGGGCGCUUACCACUUUGUGAUUCAUGACUGGGGUGAAGUCGUAACAAGGUAACCGUAGGGGAACCUGCGGUUGGAUCACCUCCUUA
This 1543-nucleotide ribosomal RNA is filed under the name Escherichia coli. RNAcentral's name for it is "bacterial SSU rRNA". It matches the Rfam family "Bacterial small subunit ribosomal RNA". Lineage: Bacteria; Pseudomonadati; Pseudomonadota; Gammaproteobacteria; Enterobacterales; Enterobacteriaceae. The record is from RNAcentral.